Cajanus cajan (pigeon pea) is the source of this 81-nucleotide non-coding RNA. NCBI's taxonomy places the organism in Eukaryota, Viridiplantae, Streptophyta, Magnoliopsida, Fabales, Fabaceae. The record is from Rfam.
UAGAGUUAUGAAAAAUUGUGGAGGCUACACCAGACUGACCAGAGAAUGUCGUAGCAAAGGGCCAUCCAACACCAUCUAGAA